This 250-nucleotide ribosomal RNA is filed under the name uncultured soil bacterium. RNAcentral's name for it is "partial 16S ribosomal RNA". It matches the Rfam family "Bacterial small subunit ribosomal RNA", at positions 26 to 304 of the family's 1533-position model. The record is from RNAcentral.
AGAACGAACGCUGGCGGCAUGCCUAAUACAUGCAAGUCGAACGAACUCUUCGGAGUUAGUGGCGCACGGGUGCGUAACGCGUGGGAAUCUGCCCCUUGGUUCGGAAUAACAGUUGGAAACGACUGCUAAUACCGGAUGAUGACGAAAGUCCAAAGAUUUAUCGCCAAGGGAUGAGCCCGCGUAGGAUUAGCUAGUUGGUGAGGUAAAGGCUCACCAAGGCAACGAUCCUUAGCUGGUCUGAGAGGAUGAU